GCCCCGAUGGUGGAAUUGGUAUACACACAUGCUUGAGGUGCAUGGCUUUAAUCGGCAUAGGGGUUCGAGUCCCCUUUGGGGCACAA
Molecule: transfer RNA, 86 nt
Filed under: Candidatus Moraniibacteriota bacterium
Lineage: Bacteria; Candidatus Moraniibacteriota
Description: tRNA-Leu
Rfam family: tRNA
About the family: Transfer RNA (tRNA) molecules are approximately 80 nucleotides in length. Their secondary structure includes four short double-helical elements and three loops (D, anti-codon, and T loops).
Source: RNAcentral